UCCAGACUCCUACGGGAGGCAGCAGUGGGGAAUAUUGGACAAUGGGGGGAACCCUGAUCCAGCGACGCCGCGUGAGUGAAGAAGUAUUUCGGUAUGUAAAGCUCUCUCAGCAGGGAAGAAAAUGACGGUACCUGACUAAGAAGCCCCGGCUAACUACGUGCCAGCAGCCGCGGUAAUACGUAGGGGGCAAGCGUUAUCCGGAUUUACUGGGUGUAAAGGGAGCGUAGACGGUUAAUCAAGUCAGAAGUGAAAACCCAGGGCUCAACCUUGGGACUGCUUUUGAAACUGAGUAGCUAGAGUGCAGGAGAGGUAAGCGGAAUUCCUAGUGUAGCGGUGAAAUGCGUAGAUAUUAGGAGGAACACCAGUGGCGAAGGCGGCUUACUGGACUGUAACUGACGUUGAGGCUCGAAAGCGUGGGGAGCAAACAGGAUUAGAUACCCCAGUA
This 445-nucleotide ribosomal RNA is filed under the name uncultured bacterium. Its description in RNAcentral is "partial 16S ribosomal RNA". It matches the Rfam family "Bacterial small subunit ribosomal RNA", at positions 330 to 792 of the family's 1533-position model. The record is from RNAcentral.